This 729-nucleotide ribosomal RNA is filed under the name uncultured Pseudomonas sp. RNAcentral describes it as "bacterial SSU rRNA". It matches the Rfam family "Bacterial small subunit ribosomal RNA", at positions 94 to 819 of the family's 1533-position model. Lineage: Bacteria; Pseudomonadati; Pseudomonadota; Gammaproteobacteria; Pseudomonadales; Pseudomonadaceae. The record is from RNAcentral.
AGCGGCGGACGGGUGAGUAAUGCCUAGGAAUCUGCCUGGUAGUGGGGGACAACGUUUCGAAAGGAACGCUAAUACCGCAUACGUCCUACGGGAGAAAGCAGGGGACCUUCGGGCCUUGCGCUAUCAGAUGAGCCUAGGUCGGAUUAGCUAGUAGGUGAGGUAAUGGCUCACCUAGGCGACGAUCCGUAACUGGUCUGAGAGGAUGAUCAGUCACACUGGAACUGAGACACGGUCCAGACUCCUACGGGAGGCAGCAGUGGGGAAUAUUGGACAAUGGGCGAAAGCCUGAUCCAGCCAUGCCGCGUGUGUGAAGAAGGUCUUCGGAUUGUAAAGCACUUUAAGUUGGGAGGAAGGGCAGUAAGUUAAUACCUUGCUGUUUUGACGUUACCAACAGAAUAAGCACCGGCUAACUUCGUGCCAGCAGCCGCGGUAAUACGAAGGGUGCAAGCGUUAAUCGGAAUUACUGGGCGUAAAGCGCGCGUAGGCGGUUNNGUAAGUUUGAUGUGAAAGCCCCGGGCUCAACCUGGGAAUUGCAUCCAAAACUACUUGGCUAGAGUANGGUAGAGGGUGGUGGAAUUCCCGGUGUAGCAGUGAAAUGCGUAGAUAUAGGNAGGAACACCAGUGGCGAAGGCGACCACCUGGACUNAUACUGACACUGAGGCNCGAAAGCGUGGGGAGCAAACAGGAUUAGAUACCCUGGUAGUCCACGCCCUAAACGAUGUCAACUAG